RNAcentral lists this ribosomal RNA (790 nucleotides) under uncultured fungus. Its description in RNAcentral is "eukaryotic LSU rRNA". The stretch from base 287 to 440 matches the Rfam family "5.8S ribosomal RNA". The record is from RNAcentral. Lineage: Eukaryota; Fungi.
UGCACUUGUUUUCAACUCUCCCUGCUCGGUACAUGAAUUGAAGAGAAUUUAGUAAUGUUGAGGAGUCUCUCGGGACUCAGCUAUCUUCUCUAACUUGACUUCGGUCUGACAAUUGUAGUACUGCGGUCAGGCAACCUUCUGCUUACAACCUUCUCUCAUCUGAAGGGAGUAGUGGAAUUAAACACACAUUUCACCCUAUUUUUGCUAGUUGACUUUUAUAUGUUGUCUUAUUCGAUACUUCGGUAUUGCGUAAUUCACACGUUUAUUAUUUGAACGUUAAAUUUACAACUCUUAGCAAUGGAUAUCUUGGUUCUCGCAACGAUGAAGAACGCAGCGAAAUGCGAUACGUAAUGCGAAUUGCAGAAUUCAGUGAAUCAUCAAAUCUUUGAACGCAAAUUGCGCUCUUGGGUAGCCCUAGGAGCACGCCUCUCUCAGUAUCGGUUCAACCACCUCUCAGCAGCGUAUGCAAAUACGUGUUGGCUGGAAAAUGAGAGUGUAAUUUUCACAAUUACUCUCUUUAAGUACAUUGAGUGAGCACCACACAUUUACACGCUCUACUUCGGUAGAAGCCAGUUUCGAGCUGGUCGUGUAUAAGUGACGUGAAUACUGAGCCUUGUGCUCUUACAUUUACGUGUAACUUGUAUAUGACUAUUAAGGUUUUUAAUUGGUGUGUCUAUGGAGAUGCUCAUGUAACGCGGCUUUAGCUGCAAUCGGCUUUGAUUAAUUUUGAAGUCUGAAUUUUGAUCUGAGAUGAAGCGAGACAACCCCCUGAAUUUAAGCAUAUUAAUAA